Molecule: non-coding RNA, 1414 nt
Organism: Peromyscus maniculatus bairdii (prairie deer mouse)
Lineage: Eukaryota; Metazoa; Chordata; Mammalia; Rodentia; Cricetidae
Source: RefSeq, a predicted model, not a curated record
CACAACAUAAUAUGUCUCUCUUGUUCAUGAUGGUUUUCAUUGCUCUGUAGUCUACUUAAUUACAUUAAUAUAACCAUUUUUGUUUUCUUUAAUGUUUUCAAGAUAUGGUUUUCAUUCUUUUACUUUUAAUAUUUCUAUGUCAUCAGAAGUGAAAUGAGGGUUUUUUAUAGAUAGCAUAUAAUUGGAUCAUGCUUUUUAAAUAGGUAUAUGUAGAGUAUUUAUAUUUGAUAGGAUUAUUAAUAUGCCAGAACUUACAUAUGCCAUUUUGGUUUUUUGUUUUCUGUGUUUUGUUUAUAGUGUCUUAUUUCUGUUUUCCUGUGGAUUAUGUUAACAUUUUCUAGAGUUUCAUUUUGAUUUACCUAUAAUGUUUUAAAUAUAUCUCUUUUGUAAAGAGUUGUUUUGUUUUGUUUUUUUCUUUUUAUUUAUGUGCAGGGCAGGGUUGGGGGUGUGUAUCUGUGAGAGCAGGUGCCUGUCAAGGCCAGAGGCACUAGACAUCCACGAGCUGGAGUUGUAGGGGUGUGAGCCACCUGACAUGGGUUCUGAGAACAGAAGUCCAGCCAUCAAGAAGAGCAAUAAGCUUUAUUGGGGUGCACAAAGAAAAUAUCAUCAUAUGCAUUCUCCAGGAAGCAGAUUUGAGAUGGAAUUACAGGAAGUGCCAUAGGACCAGUAUCUCUGAAGGGGAAGUCGGCGUCAGUGCAUCUUUGCAGGAAUCUCUGAAUGUGACUGACUCAGCUGCUGUUCCAGGGUUGUGCUGCCCAUCUGUUGCUGUGCUCCCCACCAUGACAGUGAUGGACUCCUGUCCCUCUGAAACUACCUGGGCUGCUCUCAACCUCCGUCAGAGAACUUCUUUGUGCAGCGGGCAGCAGUCACUGCAGAGCUGCCCAGCUAGCUGAAAUGCUCAGAACAGCAGACUGAGUGCUUAGCCCCAGGUAGGACAUCUGUAUCCAAGCCACCACUAGUGCUCAGGGAGCACUGUGUAUGAAGAAGAGGAAAAAAUGUCGGAUCUGGAGGAUAAGGAAGAGCGCUGUGAAAUGCUGUCUUCUGGCCAUGGCUAUUACAUUUGGAAACUCACAACAGCUGCGGUUACCUGCAUAAGAUCAAGCCACCCAGCCUAAGGCAUAGGUGGGUGGUCUCCAGGCCCCAUUCCUUGUUGAGGGGCUAUGGGCAGCCGAUAGGUGCUUGGAGAGGGAAGAUUAUUAUGGUUGGAGGAAUUGGCCACUGGUAGGUUUCCUAUGCUCUAGGGGAGGAUGGCCCCACACCCACACAGAUAUGGGCAGUACUAAUUAAACUUCCCAGAUUGUAUAUUUAAAAAAAAUAAAAGGUAAAGUUGAGAAAGUGACCUGUUGGGGAAGAUAUGGGGGACGUUGAAGAUAUUAGGGCCUAGAUGUCAUAUUUCAUUAUUGCAUACAUAGAA